GCGGCCGUGGCGGAAUUGGUAGACGCGCAACGUUGAGGUCGUUGUGGGCGAACGCCCGUGGAAGUUCGAGUCUUCUCGGCCGCACCA
RNAcentral lists this transfer RNA (87 nucleotides) under Sphingomonas melonis. RNAcentral's name for it is "tRNA-Leu". It matches the Rfam family "tRNA". From Rfam's summary of the family: Transfer RNA (tRNA) molecules are approximately 80 nucleotides in length. Their secondary structure includes four short double-helical elements and three loops (D, anti-codon, and T loops). Lineage: Bacteria; Pseudomonadati; Pseudomonadota; Alphaproteobacteria; Sphingomonadales; Sphingomonadaceae. The record is from RNAcentral.